AUUGAACGCUGGCGGCAUGCUUUACACAUGCAAGUCGAACGGUAACAGGCCGCAAGGUGCUGACGAGUGGCGAACGGGUGAGUAAUGCAUCGGAACGUGCCCAGUCGUGGGGGAUAACUACUCGAAAGAGUAGCUAAUACCGCAUACGAUCUAUGGAUGAAAGCGGGGGACCGUAAGGCCUCGCGCGAUUGGAGCGGCCGAUGUCAGGUUAGGUAGUUGGUGGGGUAAAGGCUCACCAAGCCAACGAUCUGUAGCUGGUCUGAGAGGACGACCAGCCACACUGGGACUGAGACGCGGCCCAGACUCCUACGGGAGGCAGCAGUGGGGAAUUUUGGACAAUGGGCGCAAGCCUGAUCCAGCAAUGCCGCGUGCAGGAAGAAGGCCUUCGGGUUGUAAACUGCUUUUGUACGGAACGAAACGGCUCUGGUUAAUACCCGGGGCUAAUGACGGUACCGUAAGAAUAAGCACCGGCUAACUACGUG
Molecule: ribosomal RNA, 482 nt
Filed under: uncultured bacterium
Lineage: Bacteria
Description: partial 16S ribosomal RNA
Rfam family: Bacterial small subunit ribosomal RNA
Source: RNAcentral